AUUGAACGCUGGCGGCAGGCCUAACACAUGCAAGUCGAGCGGAUGAAGGGAGAUUGCUCCUGGAUUCAGCGGCGGACGGGUGAGUAAUGCCUAGGAAUCUGCCUGGCAGUGGGGGAUAACGUCCGGAAACGGGCGCUAAUACCGCAUAAGUCCUGAGGGAGAAAGUGGGGGAUCUUCGGACCUCACGCUAUCAGAUGAGCCUAGGUCGGAUUAGCUAGUUGGUGGGGUAAAGGCCUACCAAGGCGACGAUCCGUAACUGGUCUGAGAGGAUGAUCAGUCACACUGGAACUGAGACACGGUCCAGACUCCUACGGGAGGCAGCAGUGGGGAAUAUUGGACAAUGGGCGAAAGCCUGAUCCAGCCAUGCCGCGUGUGUGAAGAAGGUCUUCGGAUUGUAAAGCACUUUAAGUUGGGAGGAAGGGCAGUAAGUUAAUACCUUGCUGUUUUGACGUUACCAACAGAAUAAGCACCGGCUAACUUCGUG
RNAcentral lists this ribosomal RNA (484 nucleotides) under uncultured bacterium. Its description in RNAcentral is "partial 16S ribosomal RNA". It matches the Rfam family "Bacterial small subunit ribosomal RNA", at positions 30 to 507 of the family's 1533-position model. The record is from RNAcentral.